This 28-nucleotide small RNA is filed under the name Bombyx mori (domestic silkworm). RNAcentral describes it as "ovarian small RNA-35497". The record is from RNAcentral. Lineage: Eukaryota; Metazoa; Arthropoda; Insecta; Lepidoptera; Bombycidae.
UGUAUGGGAAGGUUAAUGAUGCCUGUAC